RNAcentral lists this ribosomal RNA (200 nucleotides) under uncultured bacterium. Its description in RNAcentral is "partial 16S ribosomal RNA". It matches the Rfam family "Bacterial small subunit ribosomal RNA", at positions 28 to 218 of the family's 1533-position model. The record is from RNAcentral.
GACGAACGCUGGCGGCGUGCCUAAUACAUGCAAGUAGAACGCUGAAGCUUGGUGCUUGCACCGAGCGGAUGAGUUGCGAACGGGUGAGUAACGCGUAGGUAACCUGCCUGGUAGCGGGGGAUAACUAUUGGAAACGAUAGCUAAUACCGCAUGAUAUUGAUUAUUGCAUGAUAGUCAAUUAAAGGGUGCAAUUGCAUCAC